This 411-nucleotide ribosomal RNA is filed under the name uncultured bacterium. RNAcentral describes it as "bacterial SSU rRNA". It matches the Rfam family "Bacterial small subunit ribosomal RNA", at positions 505 to 916 of the family's 1533-position model. The record is from RNAcentral.
GUUCCAGCAGCCGCGGUAAGACGGAGGGUGCAAGCGUUAAUCGGAAUUACUGGGCGUAAAGCGUGCGCAGGCGGUUGUGUAAGACAGGCGUGAAAUCCCCGGGCUCAACCUGGGAAUGGCGCUUGUGACUGCACAACUGGAGUGCGGCAGAGGGGGAUGGAAUUCCGCGUGUAGCAGUGAAAUGCGUAGAUAUGCGGAGGAACACCGAUGGCGAAGGCAAUCCCCUGGGCCUGCACUGACGCUCAUGCACGAAAGCGUGGGGAGCAAACAGGAUUAGAUACCCUGGUAGUCCACGCCCUAAACGAUGUCAACUGGUUGUUGGGUCUUAGCUGACUCAGUAACGAGGCUAACGCGUGAAGUUGACCGCCUGGGGAGUACGGCCGCAAGGUUGAAACUCAAAGAAAUUGACGG